AUAACUCCGGGAAACCGGAGCUAAUACCGGAUAGUUCCUUGAACCGCAUGGUUCAAGGAUGAAAGACGGUUUCGGCUGUCACUUACAGAUGGACCCGCGGCGCAUUAGCUAGUUGGUGAGGUAACGGCUCACCAAGGCGACGAUGCGUAGCCGACCUGAGAGGGUGAUCGGCCACACUGGGACUGAGACACGGCCCAGACUCCUACGGGAGGCAGCAGUAGGGAAUCUUCCGCAAUGGACGAAAGUCUGACGGAGCAACGCCGCGUGAGUGAUGAAGGUUUUCGGAUCGUAAAGCUCUGUUGUUAGGGAAGAACAAGUGCAAGAGUAACUGCUUGCACCUUGACGGUACCUAACCAGAAAGCCACGGCUAACUACGUGCCAGCAGCCGCGGUAAUACGUAGGUGGCAAGCGUUGUCCGGAAUUAUUGGGCGUAAAGGGCUCGCAGGCGGUUUCUUAAGUCUGAUGUGAAAGCCCCCGGCUCAACCGGGGAGGGUCAUUGGAAACUGGGAAACUUGAGUGCAGAAGAGGAGAGUGGAAUUCCACGUGUAGCGGUGAAAUGCGUAGAGAUGUGGAGGAACACCAGUGGCGAAGGCGACUCUCUGGUCUGUAACUGACGCUGAGGAGCGAAAGCGUGGGGAGCGAACAGGAUUAGAUACCCUGGUAGUCCACGCCGUAAACGAUGAGUGCUAAGUGUUAGGGGGUUUCCGCCCCUUAGUGCUGCAGCUAACGCAUUA
This 734-nucleotide ribosomal RNA is filed under the name Bacillus aerius. RNAcentral's name for it is "bacterial SSU rRNA". It matches the Rfam family "Bacterial small subunit ribosomal RNA", at positions 143 to 862 of the family's 1533-position model. Lineage: Bacteria; Bacillati; Bacillota; Bacilli; Caryophanales; Bacillaceae. The record is from RNAcentral.